CUGCCUGUAAGACUGGGAUAACAUCGAGAAAUCGGUGCUAAUACCGGAUAAUAAAAAGAACUGCAUGGUUCUUUUUUGAAAGAUGGUUUCGGCUAUCACUUACAGAUGGGCCCGCGGCGCAUUAGCUAGUUGGUGGGGUAACGGCUCACCAAGGCGACGAUGCGUAGCCGACCUGAGAGGGUGAUCGGCCACACUGGGACUGAGACACGGCCCAGACUCCUACGGGAGGCAGCAGUAGGGAAUCUUCCGCAAUGGACGAAAGUCUGACGGAGCAACGCCGCGUGAGUGAUGAAGGUUUUCGGAUCGUAAAACUCUGUUGUUAGGGAAGAACAAGUGCCGUUCGAAAGGGCGGCACCUUGACGGUACCUAACGAGAAAGCCACGGCUAACUACGUGCCAGCAGCCGCGGUAAUACGUAGGUGGCAAGCGUUGUCCGGAAUUAUUGGGCGUAAAGCGCGCGCAGGCGGUCUCUUAAGUCUGA
RNAcentral lists this ribosomal RNA (480 nucleotides) under Halalkalibacterium halodurans. RNAcentral's name for it is "bacterial SSU rRNA". It matches the Rfam family "Bacterial small subunit ribosomal RNA", at positions 126 to 592 of the family's 1533-position model. The record is from RNAcentral. Lineage: Bacteria; Bacillati; Bacillota; Bacilli; Caryophanales; Bacillaceae.